This is a long non-coding RNA of Hemiscyllium ocellatum (epaulette shark), 129 nucleotides long. RefSeq lists it as uncharacterized. NCBI's taxonomy places the organism in Eukaryota, Metazoa, Chordata, Chondrichthyes, Orectolobiformes, Hemiscylliidae. The record is from RefSeq and is a predicted model, not a curated record. The transcript is spliced from 3 exons.
CCACCGAGAGUGGAGGUCCUGCUGGAACAACAAAAGAUACUUGGCUGCAGACUCUACAAGAUCAAAUACAACCUCUUCCGUCUGUGAUAUUCCUGUAUGCGAAACCUGUAGCCUGACCUCAGCAAACCA